GACGAACGCUGGCGGCGUGCUUAACACAUGCAAGUCGAACGGAAAGGCCCUGCUUUUGUGGGGUGCUCGAGUGGCGAACGGGUGAGUAACACGUGAGUAACCUGCCCUUGACUUUGGGAUAACUUCAGGAAACUGGGGCUAAUACCGGAUAGGAGCUCCUGCUGCAUGGUGGGGGUUGGAAAGUUUCGGCGGUUGGGGAUGGACUCGCGGCUUAUCAGCUUGUUGGUGGGGUAGUGGCUUACCAAGGCUUUGACGGGUAGCCGGCCUGAGAGGGUGACCGGCGACAUUGGGACUGAGAUACGGCCCAGACUGCUACGGGAGGCAGCAGUGGGGAAUAUUGCACAAUGGGCGGAAGCCUGAUGAAGCAACGCCGCGUGCGGGAUGACGGCCUUCGGGUUGUAAACCGCUUUCGCCUGUGACGAAGCGUGAGUGACGGUAAUGGGUAAAGAAGCACCGGCUAACUACGUG
RNAcentral lists this ribosomal RNA (468 nucleotides) under uncultured bacterium. RNAcentral describes it as "partial 16S ribosomal RNA". It matches the Rfam family "Bacterial small subunit ribosomal RNA", at positions 28 to 507 of the family's 1533-position model. The record is from RNAcentral.